This 492-nucleotide ribosomal RNA is filed under the name uncultured bacterium. Its description in RNAcentral is "partial 16S ribosomal RNA". It matches the Rfam family "Bacterial small subunit ribosomal RNA", at positions 29 to 507 of the family's 1533-position model. The record is from RNAcentral.
AGUGAACGCUGGCGGUAGGCCUAACACAUGCAAGUCGAACGGCAGCACAGUAAGAGCUUGCUCUUACGGGUGGCGAGUGGCGGACGGGUGCGGAAUACCUCGGAAUCUACUUUUUCGUGGGGGCUAACGUAGGGAAACUUACGCUAAUACCGCAUACGACCUACGGGUGAAAGCAGGGGAUCUUCGGACCUUGCGCGAUUGAAUGAGCCGAUGUCGGAUUAGCUAGUUGGCGGGGUAAAGGCCCACCAAGGCGACGAUCCGUAGCUGGUCUGAGAGGAUGAUCAGCCACACUGGAACUGAGACACGGUCCAGGCUCCUACGGGAGGCAGCAGUGGGGAAUAUUGGACAAUGGGCGCAAGCCUGAUCCAGCCAUACCGCGUGGGUGAAGAAGGCCUUCGGGUUGUAAAGCCCUUUUGUUGGGAAAGAAAAGCAGCAGGCUAAUACCCCGCUGUUCUGACGGUACCCAAAGAAUAAGCACCGGCUAACUUCGUG